GACGAACGCUGGCGGCGUGCUUAACACAUGCAAGUCGAACGGAAAGGCCCUGCUUUUGUGGGGUGCUCGAGUGGCGAACGGGUGAGUAACACGUGAGUAACCUGCCCUUGACUUUGGGAUAACUUCAGGAAACUGGGGCUAAUACCGGAUAGGAGCUCCUGCUGCAUGGUGGGGGUUGGAAAGUUUCGGCGGUUGGGGAUGGACUCGCGGCUUAUCAGCUUGUUGGUGGGGUAGUGGCUGACCAAGGCUUUGACGGGUAGCCGGCCUGAGAGGGUGACCGGCCACAUUGGGACUGAGAGACAGCCCAGACUCCUACGGGAGGCAGCAGUGGGGAAUAUUGCACAAUGGGCGGAAGCCUGAUGCAGCAACGCCGCGUGCGGGAUGACGGCCUUCGGGUUGUAAACCGCUUUCGCCUGUGACGAAGCGUGAGUGACGGUAAUGGGUAAAGAAGCACCGGCUAACUACGUG
This 468-nucleotide ribosomal RNA is filed under the name uncultured bacterium. Its description in RNAcentral is "partial 16S ribosomal RNA". It matches the Rfam family "Bacterial small subunit ribosomal RNA", at positions 28 to 507 of the family's 1533-position model. The record is from RNAcentral.